UUGUUCAACGAUUAAUACCCUACGUGAUCUGAGUUCAGACCGGAGUAAUCCAGGUCAGUUUCUAUCUAUUAUAGAGUCUAUUUUAGUACGAAAGGACCAAAUAGACAUGGCCUCUGUAAAAUGCAUGCCACAGCUACCAAUUUAUGUAUACACCUUAAUAAUAUACUAGCCUAAUACUUAGUUCAAGAUAAAGAACA
RNAcentral lists this ribosomal RNA (197 nucleotides) under Atelopus bomolochos (Azuay stubfoot toad). RNAcentral's name for it is "partial 16S ribosomal RNA". Lineage: Eukaryota; Metazoa; Chordata; Amphibia; Anura; Bufonidae. The record is from RNAcentral.